Molecule: ribosomal RNA, 232 nt
Filed under: uncultured bacterium
Lineage: Bacteria
Description: partial 16S ribosomal RNA
Rfam family: Bacterial small subunit ribosomal RNA
Source: RNAcentral
GCAAGUCGAGCGCCCCUUCGGGGGAGCGGCGGACGGGUGAGUAACGCGUAGGAAUCUACCUGGUAGUGGGGGACAACAUGGUGAAAACCAUGCUAAUACCGCAUACGCCCCAAGGGGGAAAGCGGGGGAUCUUCGGACCUCGCGCUAUCGGAUGAGCCUGCGUAGGAUUAGCUAGUUGGUGGGGUAAAGGCUCACCAAGGCGACGAUCCUUAGCUGGUCUGAGAGGAUGAUC